UACGGAGGAUGCGAGCGUUACCCGGAUUUAUUGGGUUUAAAGGGUGCGUAGGCGGGAUGCCAAGUCAGCGGUAAAAAUGCGGUGCUCAACGCCGUCGAGCCGUUGAAACUGGCGUUCUUGAGUGGGCGAGAAGUAUGCGGAAUGCGUGGUGUAGCGGUGAAAUGCAUAGAUAUCACGCAGAACUCCGAUUGCGAAGGCAGCAUACCGGCGCUCUACUGACGCUGAGGCACGAAAGCGUGGGUAUCGAACAGG
This 252-nucleotide ribosomal RNA is filed under the name uncultured bacterium. RNAcentral describes it as "partial 16S ribosomal RNA". It matches the Rfam family "Bacterial small subunit ribosomal RNA", at positions 524 to 776 of the family's 1533-position model. The record is from RNAcentral.